AUGAACGCUGGCGGUAUGCUUCACACAUGCAAGUCGAACGGUCACUUCGGUGAUAGUGGCGGACGGGUGAGUAACGCGUGAGAAUCUGUCUUCAGGUCGGGGACAACAGUUAGAAAUGACUGCUAAUACCGGAUGUGCCUUUGGGUGAAAGAUUUAUUGCCUGAAAAAGAGCUCGCGUCAGAUUAGCUAGUAGGUGGUGUAAGAGACUACCUAGGCUCCGAUCUGUAGCUGGUCUGAGAGGACGAUCAGCCACACUGGAACUGAGACACGGUCCAGACUCCUACGGGAGGCAGCAGUGGGGAAUUUUCCGCAAUGGGCGAAAGCCUGACGGAGCAAUACCGCGUGAGGGACGAAGGCUUUUGGGUCGUAAACCUCUUUUCUCAAGGAAGAUGAUGACGGUACUUGAGGAAUAAGCAUCGGCUAACUCUGUG
RNAcentral lists this ribosomal RNA (431 nucleotides) under uncultured bacterium. RNAcentral describes it as "partial 16S ribosomal RNA". It matches the Rfam family "Bacterial small subunit ribosomal RNA", at positions 29 to 507 of the family's 1533-position model. The record is from RNAcentral.